Molecule: unclassified non-coding RNA, 249 nt
Filed under: Ascomycota sp.
Lineage: Eukaryota; Fungi; Ascomycota
Description: partial contains small subunit ribosomal RNA, internal transcribed spacer 1, and 5.8S ribosomal RNA
Rfam family: Eukaryotic small subunit ribosomal RNA (bases 1-47)
Source: RNAcentral
AAAGUCGUAACAAGGUUUCCGUAGGUGAACCUGCGGAAGGAUCAUUAACACGUAUCCAAACGUUUUAAAACUCAAAAUAUCUGUGAACAGUAACGAAAGUUACUCCCCCUCCCCUAUUUUAUCAAACCCCCUUUUAAAAACUUUUUCUUUUUUGAACUGAAAAACAAAACUUAAAACAAAGGUUCAUUCCUUUUUUUUUAAAUUUACAAAAAUGCUGAACAACUCUUAACAACGGAUAUCUUGGUUCUC